UUGACUUUGAGUUCAGUUCAGUCAGCCAAGUCAGUUCAGUCAGAAAGAGUCCUCUGAACGAGGUAGUUAUGUAUUAUCCUAAUAGUAGCGAAUUUGUUAGUCGAGUUGUAACUUUGAGUAAAGUAGUAUCUUUUUGUCCAGUACGGACUUAAGUAUUUUGAUAGUUUUUCUCUGGAUUUAGAGAGUAAAGUAGUAACUGUGAAGUUAAUUGUUACCCGCUGGCUGUGUUACGGACGUUACUUGUGACUUAUUCUGUAACUAAUCGUCUUGGAUAUUCAAUACCGCCGUUAUGAGGAUGUAAUUAUGUUUCACGUCGGAAGUCUUGAUGUAACUGCCAAUAAGAUGUCUAUAUAAUGAAAGUACCAAGAAUAAUGCAAUGGGUAACAUCAUUGGUUCAAGCAGCUGACUGGUGUCAAAAAUCACAGACAUCUAACAAGCCACUCAUACACGAGGUCCGUCACAGACACUUUAGUCAAUAAUCAUGUGUUGUGUGCGCAUAAUGGAGUGGGUGUUUACAAAACAAGUCAAAAGUCAAUGCUGGGGUUCCAGAGAACGAAAAGUGAAAGAGAGAGCAAGUAAUGGUACUUUGAAACAACUAAUCCUAAUAGCAUUAAAAAGUUAUGGAACAAAAUAUCAAGAGAAAUGUAGAAAUGGGAAUGGGAAUGUGUACAAAGGACUAACUUUUUGUUGUUGGCGUAAAGUUAAAGUGCUACUAAAAUUAAUGGGUUCAAAAUAUGACAGCAUGUAUAUAAUGCGCUGGGGGCGCAAUAUGAAACUGGUCUUUUCAAAUUAAGUCUAAAGUCUAUGUGGGAGAAAUUAUGAUGCACAGGUGAAAAAACAAAAUGGGGGUUUCAGAGCGCAAAAGACGGAGAGAGAGAGCGUAAUCGUUGUUUACACUAAUUCACAGGCUAAAAAAUUAUGUUAGGUUGAUCAUUAAAACUGUAUGGCCAGUUUAA
Long non-coding RNA from Biomphalaria glabrata, 956 nucleotides. RefSeq lists it as uncharacterized. The transcript has 4 exons. Lineage: Eukaryota; Metazoa; Mollusca; Gastropoda; Planorbidae. The record is from RefSeq and is a predicted model, not a curated record.